Molecule: long non-coding RNA, 1669 nt
Filed under: Salmo salar (Atlantic salmon)
Lineage: Eukaryota; Metazoa; Chordata; Actinopteri; Salmoniformes; Salmonidae
Description: lncRNA (ENSSSAG00000117263.1)
Source: RNAcentral
GCCAGAUUAGAAGGGUCUAGGAUUCCUUUGUAAGGCACAGCAAGAAAGACAAUCAGAUACAAUAUCAGGGAUCUCCUGGUAAGGCUUCUGGCUACCAUUAGUUCUGAAUACUGAGGUUUUGAUGAGAAAAAUGGCUGUGAGUUUUGAAAUGUCUUUGAGAAUUUCUUGGAUUUGUUGCCUGUUAAUUGGAGGGAUAACCUGUUAUCCUCCACCUAAAGGUAACUAUAGAUAUAUUCCCCCAAAUAAAUUAAAAGGAACCACGACUGGCCCAAAUACUUUAGGUGGAGCAACUGGAUCCCGUACCUCAGCAGCAGAAGCAGCCACCCACAAUGCCUCAGCAAGUGCCACGACUGGCCCAAAUACUUUAGGUGAAGCAACUGGAUCCCGUACCGCAGAAGCAGCCACCCACAAUGCCUCAGCAAGCGCCACGACUGGCCCAAAUACUUUAGGUGAAGCAACUGGCCACAGUGCCUCGGCAGCGGCCCCCGUAAUGCCUCGGCAGCGGAAGCGGCCACCCAUAAUGCCUCGGCAAGUGUGGUAACUGGCCCAAAUACCUUAGGUGAAUCACCUGGCCACAAUGCUUCAUCAGGUGUCACGGGCGUGCCCAAAUACCAUGGGUGAAGCAUCUGACUCCCGUGCCUCAGCAGCAGCAGCAACCCGAAAUGCCUCAGCAAGCGUCACAGCUGGGCCAAAUACCUUAGGUGAAGCAACUGGCCACGGUUUCUCGGAAACAACUGGCCACAGUGCCUCGGCAGCGGAAGCUACUGGCCACAGUGCCUCGCAAGCGGCCCCCCGUAAUGCAGCGGAAGCGGCCACCCAUAAUGCCUCGGCAAGUGUGCUAACCGGCCCAAAUACCUUAGGUGAAGCAACUGGCCACAAUGCUUCAUCAGGCGUCACGGCUGGCCCAAAUACCUUGGGUGAAGCAUCCGACUCUCGUGCCUCAACAGCAACCCGAAAUGCCUCAGCAAGCGUCACGGCUGGGCCAAAUACCUUAGGUGAAGCAACUGGCCACGGUUCCUCGGCAGCAGAAGCAACUGGCCACAGUGCCACCCACAAUGCCUCGGCAAGUGUGGCAACUGGCCCAAAUACCUUAGGUGAAGCACCUGGCCACAAUGCUUCAUCAGGUGUCACGGCUGGCCCAAAUACCUUGGGUGAAGCAACUGGCCACGGAGCCUCGGCAGCAGAAGCAACUGGCCACAGUGCCACCCACAAUGCCUCGGAAAGCGUGGCAACUGGCCCAAAUACCUUAGGUGAAGCACCUGGCCACAAUGCUUCAUCAGGUGUCACGGCUGGCCCAAAUACCUUGGGUGAAGCAUCCGACUCCCGUGCCUCAGCAGAAGCAGCCACCCACAAUGCCUCAGCAAGCGUCACGGCUGGCCCAAAUACCUUAUGUGAAGCAACCGGCCACUUUGCCUCGGCAGUGGAAGCAACCGGCCACAGUGCCUCAUCAAGUGCGGAAUCUGGUUCAAAUGCCUCGGCAGAAGCGACAGGCGCCCUUGCCUCGGCAAAAGCGACAGGCGCCCUUGCCUCGGCAGAAGCGACAGGCGCCCUUGCCUCGGCAGAAGCGACAGGCGCCCUUGCCUCGGCAGAAGCGACAGGCGCCCUUGCCUCGGCAGAAGCGACAGGCGCCCUUGCCUCGGCAGAAGCGACAGGCGCCCUUGCCUCGGCA